AGCUUUCCUCAUCGUCCACGGUUCUCCCAUAAGGUCCAACGUCCGUGGCCACCAAGCAACUCUCUUCUAACAUUCCAGCUUGGAGCGGUUGUACAUUAAUGAAAACCAACGGAAGAGAAGGGUAUUGCGGUACACAAUGUCCAACCACCUUCGGAAUCGGAAAUCACAUAGAAAAAUAGAGAAAAAAAUAAAAGUAUCUGCAUCAGACACGGGGCAUAUUCCUCUGUUG
This 229-nucleotide unclassified non-coding RNA is filed under the name Hevea brasiliensis (rubber tree). Lineage: Eukaryota; Viridiplantae; Streptophyta; Magnoliopsida; Malpighiales; Euphorbiaceae. The record is from RNAcentral.